AUAUCAAUAAGCGGAGGAAAAGAAACCAACAGGGAUUGCCUCAGUAACGGCGAGUGAAGCGGCAACAGCUUAAAUUUGAAAUCUGGCCCCGGCGGGGUCCGAGUUGUAAUUUGUAGAGGAUGCUUCGGGCAAGACUGCGGCUUAAGUCCCUUGGAACAGGGCGUCAGAGAGGGUGAGAAUCCCGUCUGUAGUCGUCUGUCGCGCCCGCACGAAGCUCCUUCGACGAGUCGGGUUGUUUGGGAAUGCAGCUCAAAAUGGGUGGUAAAUUUCAUCUAAAGCUAAAUACCGGCCAGAGACCGAUAGCGCACAAGUAGAGUGAUCGAAAGAUGAAAAGCACUUUGAAAAGAGAGUUAAACAGCAUGUGAAAUUGUUGAAAGGGAAGCGCUUGCAACCAGACUUGUGGGCAGCGGUUCAGCCGUUAUUCUUAACGGUGCACUCCGUUGUUUCCAGGCCAGCAUCGGUUUAGGUAGUCAGUUAAAGGCUCGGGGAAUGUAUCUGCACCUCGGUGCAGACUUAUAGCCCCGUGUGACAUCUGGCUUACCUGGACCGAGGAACGCGCUUCGGCACGGAUGCUGGCGUAAUGGUUGUAAGCGGCCCGUCUUGAAACACGGACCAAGGAGUCUAACAUCUAUGCGAGUGUUUGGGUGUCAAACCCCUACGCGUAAUGAAAGUGAACGGAGGUAGGAGCUCUCGGGCGCACUAUCGACCGAUCCUGAUGUCUUCGGAUGGAUUUGAGUAAGAGCAUAGCUGUUGGGACCCGAAAGAUGGUGAACUAUGCCUGAAUAGGGUGAAGCCAGAGGAAACUCUGGUGGAGGCUCGCAGCGGUUCUGACGUGCAAAUCGAUCGUCAAAUUUGGGUAUAGGGGCGAAAGACUAAUCGAACCAUCUGGUAGCUGGUUCCUGCCGAAGUUUCCCUCAGGAUAGCAGUAACGUUUUCAGUUUUAUGAGGUAAAGCAAUGAUUAGCGGCCUUGGGGAAGUAACUUCCUUAACCGAUUCUCAAACUUUAAAUAUGUAAGAAGUCCUUGUUACUUAAUUGAACGUGGACAUUUGAAUGUACCGUUACUAGUGGGCCAUUUUUGGUAAGCAGAACUGGCGAUGCGGGAUGAACCGAACGCGAGGUUAAGGUGCCGGAAUGCACGCUCAUCAGACCCCACAAAAGGUGUUAGUUCAUCUAGACAGCCUGACGGUGGCCAUGGAAGUCGGAAUCCGCUUAGAAGUGUGUAACAACUUACAGGCCGAAUGAACUAGCCCUGAAAAUGGAUGGCGCUCAAGCGUGCUACCCAUACCUCGCCGUUAAAGUUUAAAUGACGCUUUAACGAGUAGGCAGGCGUGGAGGUUUGUGACGAAGCCUUGGGGGUGACCCCGGGUCGAACAACCUCUAGUG
This 1384-nucleotide ribosomal RNA is filed under the name Pyrenula astroidea. RNAcentral's name for it is "LSU rRNA". It matches the Rfam family "Eukaryotic large subunit ribosomal RNA", at positions 40 to 1444 of the family's 3401-position model. The record is from RNAcentral. Lineage: Eukaryota; Fungi; Ascomycota; Eurotiomycetes; Pyrenulales; Pyrenulaceae.